Meriones unguiculatus (Mongolian gerbil) is the source of this 340-nucleotide long non-coding RNA. RefSeq lists it as uncharacterized. The transcript is spliced from 3 exons. The record is from RefSeq and is a predicted model, not a curated record. Lineage: Eukaryota; Metazoa; Chordata; Mammalia; Rodentia; Muridae.
GAAUGUCUGACUUUGUCAGGCCUCUGUCUCAGAGACCUGGCUAGUAGAUUCUGGGUCAGGCUAUGAAUGUCUGUGGACACUCGCCUGUCUUUGAGCACUGACACUGCACAAUGAUUCCUCACCCCAGGCUGACCAGCACAAAGGAUCUAUAAGCUACUGAGAUUUCCAGUCCCUGGUGAGGAAUAACUUUUGGCCCUGUCUUGGUGGUUAACAGUGAGGAGCAGAAAUGACAUGGGAUAAGGAGCAAGCCUCCAGAAUGAAAUCCAGUUAUCUGAAACUCAUUUCCUACGUGUAAAUGGUGGGUUGAAACUCUUGUCACAACAGUGCUGACACAGCAAGC